GACGAACGCUGGCGGCGUGCUUAACACAUGCAAGUCGAACGGAAAGACCCUGCUUUUGUGGGGUGCUCGAGUGGCGAACGGGUGAGUAACACGUGAGUAACCUGCCCUUGACUUUGGGAUAACUUCAGGAAACUGGGGCUAAUACCGGAUAGGAGCUCCUGCUGCAUGGUGGGGGUUGGAAAGUUACGGCGGUUGGGGAUGGACUCGCGGCUUAUCAGCUUGUUGGUGGGGUAGUGGCUUACCAAGGCUUUGACGGGUAGCCGGCCUGAGAGGGUGACCGGCCACAUUGGGACUGAGAUACGGCCCAGACUCCUACGGGAGGCAGCAGUGGGGAAUAUUGCACAAUGGGCGGAAGCCUGAUGCAGCAACGCCGCGUGCGGGAUGACGGCCUUCGGGUUGUAAACCGCUUUCGCCUGUGACGAAGCGUGAGUGACGGUAAUGGGUAAAGAAGCACCGGCUAACUACGUG
RNAcentral lists this ribosomal RNA (468 nucleotides) under uncultured bacterium. Its description in RNAcentral is "partial 16S ribosomal RNA". It matches the Rfam family "Bacterial small subunit ribosomal RNA", at positions 28 to 507 of the family's 1533-position model. The record is from RNAcentral.